Molecule: ribosomal RNA, 113 nt
Filed under: Acanthosepion pharaonis
Lineage: Eukaryota; Metazoa; Mollusca; Cephalopoda; Sepiida; Sepiidae
Source: RNAcentral
UUACGGUCAAAUCACACUGAAACACCGGUUCUCGUUUGAUCACCGAAGUUAAGCAUCGUAGAGCCAGGUCAGUACUUAGAUGGGGGACCGCUUGGAAACACCUGGUACUGUAA